Molecule: ribosomal RNA, 435 nt
Filed under: uncultured bacterium
Lineage: Bacteria
Description: partial 16S ribosomal RNA
Rfam family: Bacterial small subunit ribosomal RNA
Source: RNAcentral
AACGAACGCUGGCGGCAUGCCUAACACAUGCAAGUCGAACGAUUGCCUUCGGGUGAUAGUGGCGCACGGGUGCGUAACGCGUGGGAAUCUGCCCUUAGGUUCGGAAUAACAGCUGGAAACGGCUGCUAAUACCGGAUGAUAUCGCGAGAUCAAAGAUUUAUCGCCUGAGGAUGAGCCCGCGUUGGAUUAGGUAGUUGGUGGGGUAAAGGCCUACCAAGCCGACGAUCCAUAGCUGGUCUGAGAGGAUGAUCAGCCACACUGGGACUGAGACACGGCCCAGACUCCUACGGGAGGCAGCAGUGGGGAAUAUUGGACAAUGGGCGCAAGCCUGAUCCAGCAAUGCCGUGUGAGUGAUGAAGGCCCUAGGGUUGUAAAGCCCUUUUACCCGGGAAGAUAAUGACUGUACCGGGAGAAUAAGCCCCGGCUAACUCCGUG